Molecule: long non-coding RNA, 225 nt
Filed under: Mytilus galloprovincialis (Mediterranean mussel)
Lineage: Eukaryota; Metazoa; Mollusca; Bivalvia; Mytilida; Mytilidae
Source: RNAcentral
GCAACAUACUCAAAAGUCAGAUACGUCGUUUGGGAAUAUAUACAGUUGGACACCACUAUUUAACCUUUGGACAAUAUCUUUUUGAUUCUAAUCAGUGAUGAUUUUUUUUUGUGACAUUAAUGAAGAUACAUGAUAAUGCAACGAUUGUAGCAAUUUAUAUGAUACCAAAGAACAUCAUUAGCGCUCCGGAACAUUAUAAUGCAUUAUUGUCAAAGACAUCAAGCA